GACGUAGGUGGCGAACGUUAUCCGGAAUUAUUGGGCGUAAAGGGUGCGUAGGUGGCCUGACAAGUUAUCAGUGGCAAAUCGAGGCUCAACCUCGUGGAAACUGGUAAUACUGUUCGGCUUGAGUACAGGAGAGGUUAACGGAACUCUAUGUGGAGCGGUAAAAUGCACAGAUAUAUAGAAGAACAUCAAUAAAGGCGAAGGCAGUUAACUAUUCUGUUACUGACGCUGAGGCACGAAAGCGUGGGGAGCAAAACGG
RNAcentral lists this ribosomal RNA (256 nucleotides) under uncultured bacterium. RNAcentral's name for it is "partial 16S ribosomal RNA". It matches the Rfam family "Bacterial small subunit ribosomal RNA", at positions 524 to 776 of the family's 1533-position model. The record is from RNAcentral.